AGAGUUUGAUCCUGGCUCAGGACGAACGCUGGCGGCGCGCCUAACACAUGCAAGUCGAACGAGCGAGAGAGAGCUUGCUUUCUCGAGCGAGUGGCGAACGGGUGAGUAACGCGUGAGGAACCUGCCUCAAAGAGGGGGACAACAGUUGGAAACGACUGCUAAUACCGCAUAAGCCCACAGCUCGGCAUCGAGCAGAGGGAAAAGGAGCAAUCCGCUUUGAGAUGGCCUCGCGUCCGAUUAGCUGGUUGGUGAGGUAACGGCCCACCAAGGCGACGAUCGGUAGCCGGACUGAGAGGUUGAACGGCCACAUUGGGACUGAGACACGGCCCAGACUCCUACGGGAGGCAGCAGUGGGGAAUAUUGCACAAUGGGGGAAACCCUGAUGCAGCGACGCCGCGUGGAGGAAGAAGGUCUUCGGAUUGUAAACUCCUGUUGUUGAGGAAGAUAAUGACGGUACUCAACAAGGAAGUGACGGCUAACUACGUGCCAGCAGCCGCGGUAAAACGUAGGUCACAAGCGUUGUCCGGAAUUACUGGGUGUAAAGGGAGCGCAGGCGGGAAGGCAAGUUGGAAGUGAAAUCCAUGGGCUCAACCCAUGAACUGCUUUCAAAACUGUUUUUCUUGAGUAGUGCAGAGGUAGGCGGAAUUCCCGGUGUAGCGGUGGAAUGCGUAGAUAUCGGGAGGAACACCAGUGGCGAAAGCGGCCUACUGGGCACCAACUGACGCUGAGGCUCGAAAGUGUGGGUAGCAAACAGGAUUAGAUACCCUGGUAGUCCACACUGUAAACGAUGAUUACUAGGUGUUGGAGGAUUGACCCCUUCAGUGCCGCAGUUAACACAAUAAGUAAUCCACCUGGGGAGUACGACCGCAAGGUUGAAACUCAAAGGAAUUGACGGGGGCCCGCACAAGCAGUGGAGUAUGUGGUUUAAUUCGACGCAACGCGAAGAACCUUACCAAGUCUUGACAUCCUGCGACGCACAUAGAAAUAUGUGUUUCCUUCGGGACGCAGAGACAGGUGGUGCAUGGUUGUCGUCAGCUCGUGUCGUGAGAUGUUGGGUUAAGUCCCGCAACGAGCGCAACCCUUAUGGUCAGUUACUACGCAAGAGGACUCUGGCCAGACUGCCGUUGACAAAACGGAGGAAGGUGGGGAUGACGUCAAAUCAUCAUGCCCUUUAUGACUUGGGCUACACACGUACUACAAUGGCGUUAAACAAAGAGAAGCGAGACCGCGAGGUGGAGCAAAACUCAGAAACAACGUCCCAGUUCGGACUGCAGGCUGCAACUCGCCUGCACGAAGUCGGAAUUGCUAGUAAUCGCAGAUCAGCAUGCUGCGGUGAAUACGUUCCCGGGCCCCUUGUACACACCGCCCGUNNC
RNAcentral lists this ribosomal RNA (1373 nucleotides) under uncultured bacterium. RNAcentral's name for it is "bacterial SSU rRNA". It matches the Rfam family "Bacterial small subunit ribosomal RNA". The record is from RNAcentral.